RNAcentral lists this ribosomal RNA (816 nucleotides) under Murispora cicognanii. RNAcentral's name for it is "SSU rRNA". It matches the Rfam family "Eukaryotic small subunit ribosomal RNA", at positions 101 to 924 of the family's 1831-position model. Lineage: Eukaryota; Fungi; Ascomycota; Dothideomycetes; Pleosporales; Amniculicolaceae. The record is from RNAcentral.
UUAAAUCAGUUAUCGUUUAUUUGAUAGUACCUUACUACAUGGAUAACCGUGGUAAUUCUAGAGCUAAUACAUGCUAAAAACCCCAACUUCGGGAGGGGUGUAUUUAUUAGAUAAAAAACCAAUGCCCUUCGGGGCUCUUUGGUGAUUCAUAGUAACUUAACGGAUCGCAUGGCCUUGCGCCGGCGACGGUUCAUUCAAAUUUCUGCCCUAUCAACUUUCGAUGGUAAGGUAUUGGCUUACCAUGGUUUCAACGGGUAACGGGGAAUUAGGGUUCGAUUCCGGAGAGGGAGCCUGAGAAACGGCUACCACAUCCAAGGAAGGCAGCAGGCGCGCAAAUUACCCAAUCCCGACACGGGGAGGUAGUGACAAUAAAUACUGAUACAGGGCUCUUUUGGGUCUUGUAAUCGGAAUGAGUACAAUUUAAACCCCUUAACGAGGAACAAUUGGAGGGCAAGUCUGGUGCCAGCAGCCGCGGUAAUUCCAGCUCCAAUAGCGUAUAUUAAAGUUGUUGCAGUUAAAAAGCUCGUAGUUGAACCUUGGGCCUGGCUGGCCGGUCCGCCUCACCGCGUGUACUGGUCCGGCCGGGCCUUUCCUUCUGGAGAACCCCAUGCCCUUCACUGGGUGGUGUGGGGGAACCAGGACUUUUACUGUGAAAAAAUUAGAGUGUUCAAAGCAGGCCUUUGCUCGAAUACGUUAGCAUGGAAUAAUAGAAUAGGACGUGCGGUUCUAUUUUUGUUGGUUUCUAGGACCGCCGUAAUGAUUAAUAGGGAUAGUCGGGGGCAUCAGUAUUCAAUUGUCAGAGGUGAAAUUCUUGGA